UACCCCGUGGUGUAAUUGGCAACACAGCUGAUUUUGGUUCAGCCAUUCUAGGUUCAAGUCCUAGCGGGGUAAC
RNAcentral lists this transfer RNA (73 nucleotides) under Roseimaritima ulvae. Its description in RNAcentral is "tRNA-Gln". It matches the Rfam family "tRNA". From Rfam's summary of the family: Transfer RNA (tRNA) molecules are approximately 80 nucleotides in length. The record is from RNAcentral. Lineage: Bacteria; Pseudomonadati; Planctomycetota; Planctomycetia; Pirellulales; Pirellulaceae.